This is a long non-coding RNA of Acanthochromis polyacanthus (spiny chromis), 548 nucleotides long. RefSeq lists it as uncharacterized. The transcript has 2 exons. The record is from RefSeq and is a predicted model, not a curated record. Lineage: Eukaryota; Metazoa; Chordata; Actinopteri; Pomacentridae.
GAGGCUUGUUUAAUUCCAAGCACCGCUUCGACAGUGACAGCCACCGUUCAUUUGCACUGCAGGUCGUUGAGUAUAUGUGGAGUAUCCCGAGAGCCCUCACUGAAGACACGAAGACCCUCAUUGUUUCUCCCAUUGUCAAUAAAACAUACAAUUUCAUUCAUCAAAGCAUAAUGAGUUGUUAUUCUUGAAUAUAUAUAUUUUGUGUAUGUCUUAAUAUGGUUAUAGUGAGUCAACUCCUGCCUCAUCAGAAGUGGCUGGACACUAUCUGCUGAAUGGACUGUUGUUACUCUGCUUUUCAAUAACUCCCAGACUACGGGUAAGUGAAUCAGAGAAAUAUAGACAUUGUCUGGAAAUACAAUAAUCCAGCUGGGCAAAAAUUAACAUCUUCAAUCAUCUUACAUUUCUGUGUAAAAGUCAAUUUUCCAUGCUAACACGAAUGUGAAACAUUCCCUCCAAAACCCCAAAAGUGUCUUUAAUAUGUCACCUUACGGCUCAAAAUGUAAAACUGACAUUUACAUACAUACUCCAAUAAAUUAAUAAUCAAACAA